GGGGCCUACGGGGCGCAGCAGUGAGGAAUAUUGGUCAAUGGGCGCGAGCCUGAUGCAGCAACGCCGCGUGAAGGAAGAAGGGUUUCGGCUCGUAAACUUCUAUCAACAGGGACGAAAGAAAUGACGGUACCUGAAUAAGAAGCCCCGGCUAACUACGUGCCAGCAGCCGCGGUAAUACGUAGGGGGCAAGCGUUAUCCGGAAUUACUGGGGGUAAAGGGUGAGUAGGCGGCAUGGGAAGCCAGAU
This 245-nucleotide ribosomal RNA is filed under the name uncultured bacterium. RNAcentral's name for it is "partial 16S ribosomal RNA". It matches the Rfam family "Bacterial small subunit ribosomal RNA", at positions 334 to 593 of the family's 1533-position model. The record is from RNAcentral.